UUGCUUCUCUUGACAGCGGCGGACGGGUGAGUAAUGCCUAGGAAUCUGCCUGGUAGUGGGGGAUAACGUUCGGAAACGGACGCUAAUACCGCAUACGUCCUACGGGAGAAAGCAGGGGACCUUCGGGCCUUGCGCUAUCAGAUGAGCCUAGGUCGGAUUAGCUAGUUGGUGAGGUAAUGGCUCACCAAGGCGACGAUCCGUAACUGGUCUGAGAGGAUGAUCAGUCACACUGGAACUGAGACACGGUCCAGACUCCUACGGGAGGCAGCAGUGGGGAAUAUUGGACAAUGGGCGAAAGCCUGAUCCAGCCAUGCCGCGUGUGUGAAGAAGGUCUUCGGAUUGUAAAGCACUUUAAGUUGGGAGGAAGGGCAGUUACCUAAUACGUGAUUGUUUUGACGUUACCGACAGAAUAAGCACCGGCUAACUCUGUGCCAGCAGCCGCGGUAAUACAGAGGGUGCAAGCGUUAAUCGGAAUUACUGGGCGUAAAGCGCGCGUAGGUGGUUAGUUAAGUUGGAUGUGAAAUCCCCGGGCUC
This 534-nucleotide ribosomal RNA is filed under the name Pseudomonas veronii. Its description in RNAcentral is "bacterial SSU rRNA". It matches the Rfam family "Bacterial small subunit ribosomal RNA", at positions 80 to 610 of the family's 1533-position model. The record is from RNAcentral. Lineage: Bacteria; Pseudomonadati; Pseudomonadota; Gammaproteobacteria; Pseudomonadales; Pseudomonadaceae.